This 253-nucleotide ribosomal RNA is filed under the name uncultured bacterium. Its description in RNAcentral is "partial 16S ribosomal RNA". It matches the Rfam family "Bacterial small subunit ribosomal RNA", at positions 524 to 776 of the family's 1533-position model. The record is from RNAcentral.
UACGUAGGGUGCAAGCGUUGUCCGGAAUUAUUGGGCGUAAAGAGCUCGUAGGCGGUUUGUUGCGUCGGCUGUGAAAUCCCGAGGCUCAACCUCGGGUCUGCAGUCGAUACGAGCAAACUAGAGUGUUGCAGGGGAGACUGGAAUUCCUGGUGUAGCGGUGAAAUGCGCAGAUAUCAGGAGGAACACCGGUGGCGAAGGCGGGUCUCUGGGCAACAACUGACGCUGAGGUGCGAAAGCGUGGGGAGCAAACAGG